This is a long non-coding RNA of Bombyx mori (domestic silkworm), 812 nucleotides long. RefSeq lists it as uncharacterized. Lineage: Eukaryota; Metazoa; Arthropoda; Insecta; Lepidoptera; Bombycidae. The record is from RefSeq and is a predicted model, not a curated record. The transcript is spliced from 2 exons.
AAUCACCGUCAGAUGAUUAGUAUGCUUGUCUGGAUAUUGUAGCAAUAACAAAUAUUAUAGGAAAUUAAUUUAUCGUAUUUUAUUAUUUUUUAGUGACCUUUAAGUGAAAAUAAGAAUUCUAGAACAAUUUAAGUGUUUAUUAUACUCGUACGUGGUUUAAGGAAUAAUAUAAAACAAGGAAAAACAGUUUUACCUUAAGAAACGAGCUAGUGCAGGAACAAAGAAGAUGGCUGUGAAUUCGAAGCCGCGCCAAAAGUCCCACUUGACCAUGUGGUUAGUGAUGAACCAGAGAGGCGAGGACGGAUCAUUGAGUGCACUCACGCGGAGACCAAAUACUGUAUAACCUACAGUAUCCGAUGUGUACAUUGAGAACAAUUCCUGGCGACGCAUAAAUUGUAAGAUGUUGUUAAUAGUCAAACUUCAUGCAAAGCUAUUAUUAUGACGGACUAGCCGUACUCGCUCGCUUCGCUGGGCAUUUAAAAUUAACAUUAUUAUUUAUUGUCAUCAUUAUUAAGGAGUCGAACACUCAUAUAAAUAUUAGCCUAUCUAUUAAGUACAUGUAUUUUCUAGAUGGAUACCAAGUUUCAAGUCAAUCGGAUACACGGUUCAGUAGUUAUAACGGAACAUCCGUAAAAACCACUGUAGAUUUAUAUAUUAGUAUAUUGGUAUAGAUAAUGCCUAAAGUGCUUUUCUUAGUCUAGUCUCUAUUAAUGCAGAGAAUAAUGCGUUAAGUGCUACUCUAAUAUUAUGUAAUUAUUACCCACUAUUUUAUUAAAACAUGAAUAAAAGAUAACCUAAAUUUAAUAAGAUUA